This 869-nucleotide long non-coding RNA is filed under the name Marmota monax (woodchuck). The record is from RNAcentral. Lineage: Eukaryota; Metazoa; Chordata; Mammalia; Rodentia; Sciuridae.
CUCAUUAACUUUCCCACUAACCUUCCGUGAAGGGUGCUGUUCACUGCCCAUCCUCUAGAGGAGGAAGCUCAAGGUCAGAGCAGUUCAGUAGCCUCAAGCAGACUGGACUUCAGCUCUUGCUCCUUCCUCUAAGGGCUGGCCUUCCUGGGGCCUCACAACCUACCACUACCCCAAAUUUGCUACCCUGAAGUUCCCCGUUUCCUACGGCCUGUGCUUUUCUCUAAAGCAAUGUGUAAACAGAUUGCCACACCCUGGCCCCACUAGCUCUGAGACAGUGGGAGCUCUUCCAUUUGCUGGGCAUUUGCAGAGAACAUGCAGUGUCUUUCUGGAGCAGGGAUCUGGUUGGAUCUCCAGGCUGUGUGGAGACACACAAGGCGAUGCCAUCGUCCUGCUCCUUCUGAAUGCAGAGUGCCUGCUAGCAAUCGUCCUGGGAGCCAGAGUGCAGCCAGGGGCACAUGAGUGCUCCCAGAUGUGUGCUUGUGCCGGCUCCUACCUGGAUUCCCCGUGAGAGGAGGGCUGGAGGUAAUCCAGGGAUCUGUUUCAACAGAGAGGGCUUCUGUGCUGAGCUUCUCGCCCUGGAGACCAGGCUCAACUCUCCAGUCUGUUUCAUCAUUUCCCUCUACCCUUCCAGGUGGGCAAGGUGGGAACUAUUAUCCAAAUUCCUCAUCUUUUUUACGGAUGAAAAAACUUACAGCUAGAAAGGAGAGGUGACUUGCUCAAGGUGCAACUAAGGAGUGCAACACUCAACCCUGCGCCUGUCUGGCUUCAAGGCACACAGUCUCUGCUAGCUGCUUAAAUGUUUCCUCGUGAGAAUUUCCAAGGCUCCUGGGCACAUCUGCAGGGACAAUAACCCUGUGCUUUAUGCUGGC